Molecule: long non-coding RNA, 3636 nt
Filed under: Homo sapiens (human)
Lineage: Eukaryota; Metazoa; Chordata; Mammalia; Primates; Hominidae
Description: HSALNT0091803
Source: RNAcentral
GGUGUCUGUAUGGCACACUGGGGUUAAGGGACAAGGCCACUUGCAGGUGGCAGGAGAUGCUCUGGGGGGUUCUGGCCAAGUCAAUUCCACCCAUCUGCUCCAAGGGUUGAGAGAGUCCUUAGGUGAGUCCUUACCUGCAAACCAUUUGCAGCACAACAGCCUUUCCUAGCACAUACAUUGGAAAACUCUGUAAUAAAGAAUAUUUAGCCCUUCCAAGUAUCAAUGUUAACUAUAUCAAUGCUUCUUAAAUUUUUAUAUGCUUGUGUAUCAUCUGGGUAUCUCACUAAAAAUGCAUAUUCUGAUUCAGUAGGUCUGAGAUGCUGCAUUUCUAACAAGUUCCCAGAUGAUGCCAGUGUGGUUCAUGGACUGCAUUUUUUGUAAUAAGGAACUGGAUGAUUUAUUAAUACAACUUGCUCUGAAAAAUUAUAGAAGAAUUCAAGUCACAGGAAAUUUCUUCACUUUUAAAAUUAGUUAGCAGAGCAUCAGAAACAGUAUAAAACAGCCUGUUUCAAAUUGUAAGUGCUCUAAUACUCUCAUUUGACUAAAUCUGCCUUGGUUCAGUUUCACAUAUGAAAUAUCUGAGAAACUUCAAAAGUGUUCUUCUUGAUAACCCUCUAAAGCCUAUUUUAAAGUGAUUUUAAUGGGCAGUUCCUUGUAUAAGGAACAGUUGCCUGGAGUGCAGAGAAUUACUACUAAAUUUGUUUUUCUUAUAAUCGAAGAAAGACCCUUAUGAAUGAGACGUGAUAGCUGAUUAUUUAGCAAGGCUUUUGUGCUAGAUUGAACAUACUCAAAGAAAAGCAUAAUUAUGUUAAAAAUUAUUAUAUUCUCCUAGUCCUUGCUAUAGAGAAGUUAUGCUAUUAAAGGAAUCACUCAACUUUAACAAAAUAUCCUUUCUCCUCAAAUUGUAACUAAAACUUUUUGCUCUAGAAAUUACUGUUUCUCUGUCAAUGAAUGCAGAUUCAGAGACGAUAGGUGAUAUGUUCCAUCUCCAAAUGGAAAUAAAUUUAAAAGCAAGUGCAAAAAUGACUUUAAGAUAAGUGAAAAGUGUUAUUAUAAUGUCUUUAAAAGAGGGAAAGAGUUCCCAAGAUUCAAAACAUUUUGAAAAUAAAAAUGUAAACUUUCCAUUUUUAAUACACACCAGUUUUUAAAGAAGAAAAAGGAUUGACAUACUAUGAUAUUGAAAAUGAAAUAUACGUCUAUUCAUAUUCAAAUUAUAGAAAUUUUGGAAAUUUUUGCCAGAAUACAUGUUUACAAAAGAUCCAAGCAUCUUUCUUGAAUGUCCUUGAAAAGUUUACUGAACAUUUGACAAUUUACUCUAUCAAUCUUUGUAAUAUGAGCAUCAGUUGGACCUUUGAACAUAAAUUGAAGAGUGGGGAAUGAGUUUGACAUUACUUAGAUAUCUGUUAUCUUUAGAGUAAUGUAAAUUAAAUCAUUUUCUGAAUGAAACUGUUUUGGGAAGGAAGGGUAGUUGUGGUAGUAAAUUUGAAAAGCUGAAAAAGAAAAUCGUUGUCUAACUUUAUAACCUGGGGAAGAAAGAAAGUAUGUGGGAAGACAAAUUAAUAAUUCUUGAGGCCUAAACAUUAAUAGUCAAUUGAAUAAAAUAUAUUAUGAAUGUUAACUGCAGAAUUCCAGUACCAAUAUAUGGCAGUCUUCUUCCUAAGCAGAACUAAAAAAUGUAGGUGGAGCUUUUUCUAUAUGAAGUAAAUAGUUAACCAAUUUCACAUGAAUCCUUUCUUUGAAGAUUGCAUAGAGAAAUCAUGGGACAAAGUGAAUGACUAUGGAUGAGUAGUUUUAUGGCCAAUAAAUUGUAGUACAUGGUGUGUUACAUUAGAGAAAAGGGCAGUCAGACUUCAUGCUUCAAAGUGUAAAUUGAUUACUCUCUUGGGCUCUGAUCAUAAAUCGUUUUUCUGGCCAUCUUAUUGUAAUUUCAUCCAAUUGGUAAAAAGCAGCUUUAAAAAAAGUGUAUUUGAAGAAUUAGACCACUAUAGUUAUCAGAUAAAAAAGCCCAGUAAACUUAUGUUUGCAUGAAGAAAAUAUGAAUUUAAGCCGGGUACCGUAGCUCAUGCCUGUAAUCCCAGCACUUUGGGAGGCCGAGGCAGGCAGAUCAUGAGGUCAAGAGAUCAAGGCCAUCCUGGCCAACAUGGUGAAGCCCCAUCUCUACUAAAAAUACAAAAAUUAGCUGGGCAUGGUGGCGUGUGCCUGUAGUCCCAGCUACUCGGGAGGCUGAGGCAGGAGAAUUGCUUGAACCUGGGAGGCAGAGGUUGCAGUGAGCCGAGAUUGCACCACUGCACUCCAGCCUGGCAACAGAGUGAGACUCCAUCUCAAAAAAAAAAAAAAAAAAAAAAAAGAAAGAAAGAAAGAAAGAAAAUAAUAUAUGAAUUUAACAUGGCUUAUAACAUCCAUAUUAAUUGCAUCAGUUUUGUUUAUGAAAAAAAUAAUAACACCCUAGAAACUAUUAUUCCUUUUGAAGUGACUACAGUUGAGGUAAUUACAUCCAGGUGAUGACUGGAUCAUGGAACAAAACUCUAUACAGCUAGAGUGCCAGUAAGGAAAAGAAACCUGAGCUACAUGAGCUGCCUCAGCGAGCUGGCACUAGUAUAGGCACUUUGCACAUAUGAUCUCAUAGAGAUAAUUAUUUUUAAGAAAGACCACAGUUAAUAAAAAUAGAAGCUCUCUGAAACAGUUAAGCAGAGCUUCCAGAAUAUUCCUUAUUUAAAUAUCAUGCAUAAUUGGAACAAAAAUAAAGAAUACUAUUACCUAAAUAGUAAGGGGAAUUUGUUGAUCUUCAAUGUUUCUCAAUCAGCAUUUCCUCCUGAUUUGAAUAUAACUGAGCAUUUCUUGCAGUUAAAACCUCCUAGAAUGUGUCCACAGAGCUGAAAUUGGCAAUAGCUUCACCAUUUUUCAUGAUUAAGUAUGUUCAGUAUUCUUAUUGGUUACCCAUUUCCUACUGGUCUUUCUGCUUACAAAAAGAUAGCUUUUACAAAUUAAAGAAACAAUCACUUACCUUCUGUGUCCCAACAACCCUCUCAUCACAAAGAUGAUAUUCAAAAUAUUUGCCUACUUAACGUAAGUAGCAACUAUUCAAAACACCAUACCAGUCCUCUCUGUAUAUUUACCAGCAUGACUAUCCUGCAUUAGUCAGGAAAUCAGGAGAAUGGAUAUUCUCCCCACCUAACCACCUUCAAUCCUAGCAUGUUACUCUUGAAUGUUGGAGUGCAUUAUUCUAUUGGUGUGUAGGAUUUGCAAACUCUAGGCACAUGCUAUAGACCUUCUGAGCUAGAGGGACAAAGGUCUGAGCGGCUGUAAUGGGUUGCUCUUAAAGUCAAUUUUGCUUUUCAUGGCAAAAAAUGUGCUGUACAAACCUUUCUAGCUGAUGUGGUGAAUUGAAAAUGAGGGGUUCUGUUUUCUGAACACAAAAUUCUAUUGCUUAAAUAAUCAGAGCUAUUAUAGAAAGAAAUAACACUCUGUUCAAUAAUAGCUGAGGCAGUGUGAGGUAGUAGAAAGAGCAGAGGCUUUAAACUUGAAUAAAUCUCGGUUUGAAGGUGGUUUUCCUACCUUGAUGAUCUUGAGUAUGUUACUUAUUCUAAUUUACUUCUAUUUCCUCAUCUGUAAUACGGAGAUAAAAAUGCUCCAUGG